UGAUAAUGUAAAUGUCUGUUUUAAUUUUUUCUUUCUAUCAUUUUGUUUCAUUCAACAAGAAAUGUCCAUUAUUCUA
Molecule: non-coding RNA, 76 nt
Organism: Biomphalaria pfeifferi
Lineage: Eukaryota; Metazoa; Mollusca; Gastropoda; Planorbidae
Source: the annotation of a GenBank genome assembly